Long non-coding RNA from Populus nigra (black poplar), 805 nucleotides. RefSeq lists it as uncharacterized. NCBI's taxonomy places the organism in Eukaryota, Viridiplantae, Streptophyta, Magnoliopsida, Malpighiales, Salicaceae. The record is from RefSeq and is a predicted model, not a curated record. The transcript is spliced from 3 exons.
GUUCAUAAUCCAUAGCCCAUGUAUUAAUAAAAUCAUCACAUGAAAUAUAUGUGUCUUGUUUGUAGAUGUUGAUGAUAAGCUUUAUCCUCGAAGUUCUGGGCUGUUGGAGGAAGUUACCAAGAAUUUUCAAGGUAUAUAUAAUGCCUACACCUUAAUUUCCUCCUUCCUUAAUUAAUUAGAGCAUAUAUAGCCUUGUCCAGAAUACAUGAUUCAGAAGCUUGGUAUAUAUAGAAGAAACUGAAGCCUCUCAAAUGAAUGGUGUUCUGUACAAGAGUUAUGGCACAUCCAUGGCAGCUCUCAAGGUAUAUAUAUGGCCUUGUUGUCAUUGAAAAGAAAAAUGAAAUCAUCUUGACAAACCUUUUACCAAAAUCCAACCGAUUUACUGCUGUUCUGCGAUUUCUUUCCUCUUUCUAGGCCAUUGGUUAUGAUUUUGACAGCGAUGACUAUCACAGAUUUGUUCAUGGGAGAUUGCCAUACGAGAGGAUAUUCUCAAAUGCCGAUCAAGCACAUGUGGCUAAAGUUCUCAGCAGUUCAAGCUUUGAGGCCCUAAUAAUCCCUUUAAUUACGAAGACAUCAAUGCUUGUGAUGAAAUUGGAGUUCGGCUAUACACCCAAAAGCCAAAUUCUUGACAUCAUUGAACAUCCUUGUCCGUCUAAUCCUGUUUGAGUACUUCAAAAAACUCCAGUUGUCUGCAAACCUUUUGAAGAUGCCUUUGAGCUGGCCAACAUCAAUCCUCAAAAAAACAUCCAAGAACCAUUUCAAAAGUACACAGAAAUUCAGAUUACGUCUGGUAUGAUUUGUUAAC